Microcebus murinus (gray mouse lemur) is the source of this 1098-nucleotide non-coding RNA. The record is from RefSeq and is a predicted model, not a curated record. NCBI's taxonomy places the organism in Eukaryota, Metazoa, Chordata, Mammalia, Primates, Cheirogaleidae.
GAAAAAGCAGUGUGUCUUCUUAUUUGAGCUUCUGGACCUUUACCAGAAAGGGGCAAAAGAGAGAUCGAAGAUUUUUGAGCAAUAAAGAGACCCAGUCAUCCUCAACCUUGGGGGAAAUAACUCCGGCAGUGUUGUGUAAGGCGGAUUAAAGGGAAUUAAAUCACCGCAUCCUCCCAGGCAAGUGAUCAUCUGACCUCCUCUUGGAUGCACAUAGCGACAGAGAGCUCACCACCUCCAGCGACGGCCCACUGCUCUGUAAGGCAGCCACGCUGCUUGUGAACAAAUCUCAGGCAGAUGAUCUUGAGCUAGUGCCACUGCUCAAGCAAACAGUCAAGGCUCCAGGCUCCUUCCAGCUUCCUGCUCUGACACUCUAAACUUUAUGGCUUUUGUCUUCAUGGUUGCAUGCUGGCUGUCUGAUCACUAAGCAUCAAGUCUGCACUCCAGGCGGGAAGAAGGGUGAAGAAUAAAAGCAACGUGGCAUGUCUCUUUCUAUCAGAGAAACAAUAGCUUUUCUGGAAACUCCACGAGAUAUGCUUUUGCUUACAUCUAGUUGGGUGAAAAUGGUCACAUGGCUACAGAUGUAUGAGAAUCUGGGACGCGAGAAUUUCUAAUUAAGUACGUGGCCUUCCGAAACAGAAUCAGAGUUCUGUUAAUGCAAUCAUGAUGCUCAGAAAACAAUGCCCCCCAAAUAUGGCACUUUGACAUGCUGAACUACAGAAGCAACUACAAGGUCUCUCUGACGUUCCCCUGCCUCCCUGUAUUCUCUCUAGAAAUUCCUUACCUGACUGAGAAAUCUCCUUCCAAAAGCAAUGCAAGACCCCCUCCCUAGGAAUCUCAUCAAAUGACCAGGAAAGAUUCACCACUAGAGAAGAGAAAAGACUGGGAGUCCUCUCCAUGUCCAGACAGGCUCUUCCUCUGUUCUUCUGCGGGCACUUUGUCUCCUCUCAGGCCAUUGUUCUUUUGGCUCAUUCAUUUCCCCUAAAAAUCAUGUGCUCCUACAGCCCUCACCAAGGCUUCCCCUAGGUAAAAGGGUUUAUAAGCAAGCAUAUUCCAUUGUGACAUUGGGUCACCCUCCUCCUGCAGUUCCCCAACGCUGUG